CCUACGGGAGGCAGCAGUGGGGAAUAUUGCACAAUGGGGGAAACCCUGAUGCAGCGACGCCGCGUGAGUGAAGAAGUAAUUCGUUACGUAAAGCUCUAUUAGCAGGGAAGAAAAUGACGGUACCUGAGUAAGAAGCCCCUGCUAACUACGUGCCAGCAGCCGCGGGAAUACGGAGGGGGCAAGCGUUAGCCGGAUUUACUGGGUGUAAAGGGAGCGUAGACGGGAGUGCAAGUCUGGGGUGAAAGGCGGGGGCUCAACCCCCGGUCUGCUCUGGAAACUGUACGGCUGGAGUGCAGGAGAGGUAAGUGGAAUUCCUAGUGUAGCGGUGAAAUGCGUAGAUAUAAGGAGGAACACCAGUGGCGAAGGCGGCUUACUGGACUGUAACUGACGUUGAGGCGCGAAAGCGUGGGGAGCAAACAGGAUUAGAUACCCUAGUAGUC
RNAcentral lists this ribosomal RNA (440 nucleotides) under uncultured bacterium. Its description in RNAcentral is "partial 16S ribosomal RNA". It matches the Rfam family "Bacterial small subunit ribosomal RNA", at positions 338 to 795 of the family's 1533-position model. The record is from RNAcentral.